Molecule: microRNA precursor, 98 nt
Filed under: Bos taurus (domestic cattle)
Lineage: Eukaryota; Metazoa; Chordata; Mammalia; Artiodactyla; Bovidae
Description: mir-544 microRNA precursor family
Rfam family: mir-544 microRNA precursor family
Source: Rfam by way of RNAcentral
GUUUCCUGGGCAUCUUGUUAAAACGCAGAUUCUAAUUCACUAGGUCUGAGGAGAGGCCUGAUAGUCUGCAUUUCUAACAAGUUCCCAGGUGAUGCUGA